RNAcentral lists this ribosomal RNA (468 nucleotides) under uncultured bacterium. Its description in RNAcentral is "partial 16S ribosomal RNA". It matches the Rfam family "Bacterial small subunit ribosomal RNA", at positions 28 to 507 of the family's 1533-position model. The record is from RNAcentral.
GACGAACGCUGGCGGCGUGCUUAACACAUGCAAGUCGAACGGAAAGGCCCUGCUUUUGUGGGGUGCUCGAGUGGCGAACGGGUGAGUAACACGUGAGUAACCUGCCCUUGACUUUGGGAUAACUUCAGGAAACUGGGGCUAAUACCGGAUAUGAGCUCCUGCUGCAUGGUGGGGGUUGGAAAGUUUCGGCGGUUGGGGUUGGACUCGCGGCUUAUCAGUUUGUUGGUGGGGUAGUGGCUUACCAAGGCAUUGACGGGUAGCCGGCCUGAGAGGGUGACCGGCCACAGUGGGGCUGAGUACGGGCCGAGACUGCUACGGGUAGCAGCCGUGGGGAAUAAUGCACAAGGGGCGGAAGCCUGAUGCAGCAACGCCGCGUGGGGGAUGACGGCCUUCGGGUUGUAAACCGCUUUCGCCUGUGACGAAGCGUGAGUGACGGUAAUGGGUAAAGAAGCACCGGCUAACUACGUG